Molecule: long non-coding RNA, 2098 nt
Organism: Pocillopora damicornis (cauliflower coral)
Lineage: Eukaryota; Metazoa; Cnidaria; Anthozoa; Scleractinia; Pocilloporidae
Source: RefSeq, a predicted model, not a curated record
UUUAACGGUUGCGUAGGCGUUCUCCGUCAGUAGCCUUGAAGUUCAAGGCCAAUAGAUUAGAAUCACUAUGGAAGGAUCUGCCAAGUCACUCGUUAUACUAGUUUGGUCGGCCAGUAAACGCGCUAGGUUUGAAAAGCUCUUUCAGUUCUGAUGAGCCAAAAAAAGGAUUUUACACUCAAGAAGGAAAUUCGUAGAAUGCUUUAGAAUGCAGCUAAAGAAGAAAACGUUUGAGUUUGAAACGUGCCAUGAAGUGGGUGUACAGCUCUGAUAACUGAACGAACUUGUUGAUUCCGUUAUCACCGGAAUAUAUGGGUCGUAAAAACUUCUGUCUUAUAUCAAAUGUUUCACAGCGUAAACUGCAGUUUUUUAAAACAUGACAGCGCAACUUUCCGGCGCCUCCAUAACUGUAUUGGCAUACGAAUUGCUUCCUAACUGAGUUCACGGUAUGUGAGAUGUAAACUUGUUCAGUGAAAGUAUUUUGUAUUAGCUUGAGGAGGAUAUUACUGAUGUAAUUUAGAAGCAUCGCAGCCAAACUAAAUGGUCAAGUCCAACCUAACGAAAAGUUUCGAGACUACUUGGCGUGUUUUGCGUCCUUGUUUGGCGCCAUGUAAAGUUUCGCAAUCUUGAGAAGAACAAGGUUGUACUUUUGUGUUGAUAUAACUGUCACAUAAAAACUAUAGAACAUAAAACGUUUUUGGGCCGUAAACUUUUUUUGUUGUCUUAAGAUGAAGUAGCGCAAGUUUUUUCUCCGAGAAGAAAGAACAUGGAACGUUUUUGACCGUCAACUUUGAUUCAGUUGUCGUUUUGAGAUGAAUUAAGAGGCAUAAGAUUUCCUCACAAAUUAAGUCAUACAACGUUUUUUGGUUGUAUCCUUUUAUUGUCGUUUUAAAAUGAAGUAGCGUAAGCUUUUCUCCGAAUUUAAAGAAUCAGGCCUUGCGAACUUACGUUUGAACACGUCAGUUCGUUUUCCAGAAUCGAAUGAGACGUGACUGGCUCCAUCCUCCUUCGGCAACUUUUAGCGCAAUAUAGUAAGACCUAAGUAGUUCUAAUUAUUUAAGCCUUUAUAUGAAUCUUUGAGUUGAUGGAUACGGUGCGACACUUUUGACAUAAUCAAAUACUGACAUAAAGUGCGCUUAAUGAUUUUAUGUGCAAACAAUUUUUCAUUGAAGAGGCGUUUGACACGUUCACGUCGAAACCGCACCUAACAAACAUGGCGGAACACGUAUUGUGUUUGCUUUGUGUCGCACGGGGGAUAAUGCGUUUUGUUUAGACGCUAUCCUGGAAGGAAGGAAUUCAUUUUUACAGUGAUCGUUGAAAGGUUUAGUUGACCAUGGAUGCACAACUGUGAGAGAUUGCCAAAAAUACCAUUGUGUUUUGUUAGUCUAUAAACUUGGAAUGCUACACUUGUUUUUUUUCUUAAAGUAUUGUUGUUUAUGUGUCGUGAGACAAGAAAAAUCAACUUAGUAAUAUAUUUUCUUGAUCAUCUGCGACUUUUUCUCUCUCGGCCAGAUUCGAACUUUUGCACAGUGAAAGAAGGAAAGGAGAACAACAUAACAAAGUUCCAUUAAAACUCGACAAGUUGCAAUUUUUUUGUCUACGGUUAUCAAAUGAAUAGCCUACAGUACAACGCCACAUGGUUCAAUGAAAAGGCUAAACUGAUAAUUGACGCGCGAUGGUGGGUGCUACAGAGUAAACAUUUUCCGCUUGUUUAAUUGGCAUCCUUCUGGCAAGUUCUCCAGCAAAAAUAACAUUUCAUCAAAGUACGAAAUCCUGUGUUUACUCAUUUAGUUAAUAUGAUUUUUCCGCUAAGAAAACAACUGUUGGUGCCGGGAUCUGAGAGGUUCGAUCUUAAAUAUGAAAUGUGACUCGAGGACCAUCAUCAGCUCAUUGAGUAUUUGGCAUAUUUUCUUAUCCAUUACAGUUGUCGAGCUUCGUUCACUGAUGACUGCUACUUAAAGAACUCUAACAAAUCCUCCAUUUUCGUAAUUGCAUGCUGUUAAAGAUCUGUUUCAUUCACUGAUUUCGUGUGACAUUUGUUGACCUUUUAAAUACAGUUCGUGCCUGUAUGCUCACGUGAAUUAAAAAAAAAAUGUUAUAG